Macadamia integrifolia is the source of this 534-nucleotide long non-coding RNA. RefSeq lists it as uncharacterized. The transcript has 2 exons. NCBI's taxonomy places the organism in Eukaryota, Viridiplantae, Streptophyta, Magnoliopsida, Proteales, Proteaceae. The record is from RefSeq and is a predicted model, not a curated record.
UCUCUCUUUCUAUCUCUUUCUAUGUCUAGUUUCGUUUACAGUUGUAGUAAUGGUGAUGAUGGUUUUGAUGUUCUUUCUUGUGGGUUUAGCGGUUGCAUCUUAAGUCAUACUUUUAUUGACCAAGUCUUUGUGUAUUUUUUUUUAUAUUUCAUUUAAUGGGUCUUAGCGAAACUUCCUCUUUUGCAGUUUUGCUUUCCCCAAUACGAUAUACUACUCGCUCUUUGCUGUUUUCUCUUACACAUGCGUAAUUCUGAAUUCUGAUUUCUGAGUUUAUCUAAUUGUUGAGGGAUCAGAAUGGAGUGAGGUUUGAUGGACUGAAUUGCAGACUCGGCAUCUCCAGCUUUCCUUGAUCUCGUUGUGGGUUUGUAAUUCAUUUAUGGUUUAAUUGUAUAUAGUUUGAAUUUGUAAGCACACAGUAGAUGAGGAAGUAAUUUUGAUCGAGUUGGGACCGGUGAAGAAGCCAGGAGGUUGGCAUGAAUGGUUUGUUAGUUAAUUUUGAAAGAAAUGGCCUGAAGUCCUGCUUCUUCUUCUUCU